GACGAACGCUGGCGGCGUGCUUAACACAUGCAAGUCGAACGGACAGGCCCAGCUUUUUGGGUUCUCGCGUGGCCAACGGGCGGGUAACUCGCGGGUGAUUUGCCUCUAACUUCGGGUUAAGCUUCUGAAACUAGCUGUAAUACCUGACAGGUAAUUCGUUUAGUCUCGGUUGUGGAAAGUUUUUUCGGUUAUGGCUGGCCCCUCGGGCUAUCAGCUUGUUGGUGAGGUAAUGGGCUACCAAGGCGGCGUCCGGUAGCAGGCCUGCGAGGGUAGACGGCCACAAUGGGACUGAGAGACGGAGCAGACUCCUACGGGAGGCAGCAGUGGGGAAUAUUACACAAUGGGCGCAAGCGUGAUGCAGCGACGCCGCGUGGGGGAUGACGUGCUUCGGGUUGAAAACCUCUGUCGACAGAGACGAAGCUUUGGUGACGGUACCUGUAGAAGAAGCACCGGCUAACUACGUG
This 464-nucleotide ribosomal RNA is filed under the name uncultured bacterium. RNAcentral's name for it is "partial 16S ribosomal RNA". It matches the Rfam family "Bacterial small subunit ribosomal RNA", at positions 28 to 507 of the family's 1533-position model. The record is from RNAcentral.